CGCACAAGCGGUGGAGCAUGUGGUUUAAUUCGAAGCAACGCGCAGAACCUUACCAGCCCUUGACAUAGGGGUUUGGGGUCUUGGAGACAGGACCUCUCAGUUCGGGCUGGGCCCCAUACAGGUGCUGCAUGGCUGUCGUCAGCUUGUGUCGUGAGAUGUUGGGUUAAGUCCCGCAACGAGCGCAACCCUCGCCCUUAGUUGCCAUCGGUUCGGCCGGGCACUCUAGGGGAACUGCCGGUGACAAGCCGGAGGAAGGCGGGGAUGACGUCAAGUCCUCAUGGCCCUUAUGGGCUGGGCUACACACGUGCUACAAUGGCGGUGACAGUGGGCAGCGAAGCCGCAAGGUGGAGCCAAUCCCCAAAAACCGUCUCAGUUCGGAUUGUUCUCUGCAACUCGAGAGCAUGAAGGUGGAAUCGCUAGUAAUCGUGGAUCAGCAUGCCACGGUGAAUACGUUCCCGGGCCUUGUACACACCGCCCGUCACACCAUGGGAGUUGGUUUUACCCGAAGCCGGUGCGCUAACCGCAAGGAGGCAGCCGACCACG
This 543-nucleotide ribosomal RNA is filed under the name uncultured bacterium. RNAcentral's name for it is "bacterial SSU rRNA". It matches the Rfam family "Bacterial small subunit ribosomal RNA", at positions 922 to 1461 of the family's 1533-position model. The record is from RNAcentral.